This 229-nucleotide ribosomal RNA is filed under the name uncultured bacterium. RNAcentral describes it as "partial 16S ribosomal RNA". It matches the Rfam family "Bacterial small subunit ribosomal RNA", at positions 568 to 796 of the family's 1533-position model. The record is from RNAcentral.
UCCGUAGGCGGGCAAUUAAGUCAGUGGUGAAAGGUAUCAGCUUAACUGAUGACGUGCCAUUGAAACUGAUAGGCUUGAGUACAGACGAGGUAGGCGGAAUUUAUGGUGUAGCGGUGAAAUGCAUAGAUACCAUAAAGAACACCAAUUGCGAAGGCAGCUUACUAGACUGAGACUGACGCUGAGGCACGAAAGCGUGGGGAGCGAACAGGAUUAGAUACCCUGGUAGUCC